CAUACUUAAUAACUAACUGCCUCCGUUAGAAUUGGGAAAUUGGGUUAGAGAGCAGAUAGAAUUAAUGUUGUGCAGACCGGCGGGUUGGACCUGAACCGGUAGCACCCGCACCGGAAUCAGACCGGACCGAAUGAAUUAGGCAACAGCGGCAGGCCAAGACGAAUUCAAUUUUAAUCUUAUCCAAGAGGGUCAAGACUCCAAGUCUCCAACACGUCAUUGCUAGUCCACUGUCAAAAAAGUUGUAGACUUGUAGGCUUGUAGUCUUGUAAGAAGGGGAGACCAAAGAGGUUAGACAAGGUGCACAUAACAGAUUCUUUGUCUUGCAAUAUGAGCUCCAAAUCCAAAAGACAACGCGAUGCUGUAUACUCCACUGAUCAAACUGAUGAAGCAAUACAAUCAUAUGCAAAUACAAAUACAAUGGUUUUGGAUUUUGAGGAACUAUCCAAAAAGUUACCCCCUGAUAAAAAACUAACGGAAGGACGUCAAUAUGUUGUUAGGAAAACUAAGAGAACAUGUGAGCAUAGGGUACAUUUUGUUGAUUAUUUUGAAAAUUGUUUAUUGCGUUGUGAGUGUAAGUAUUGUGAUAAGACUUUUGCUUGUGAUAGUAAUGUAAAUGGUUCAAAAAAUGUUAAGCUUCAUGUGGGUCAAUGUCUUGCUAAUCCUACGAAUACAAGUAAAAGGAAGGGAAAACAAGCUGAGUUAUUUUUCAACAGGGAGAUAGAGAUAAGUUUGGGGAUGAUUGUGAAGGAAAAUUGAAGUUUAAAACUGUUAAUUUGAAGGAUGUUAGAGAUGCAGUAGCUCAAAUGAUUAUUAUUGAUGAGUGUCCUUUUAGAGUAGUUGAUGAACCUGGAUUUAGACGAUUAAUGUUUGUUGCUUGCUCUAGAUUUCAAAUGCCAUCUCGUACUACUAUUGCUCGUAAUUAUUAUUUAAUGUACAAAAAUGAAAGAGAUAGGUUGAAAGAUUUUCUAAAGACUUGUCAAAGAGUUAGUGUGACUACUGAUACUUGGUCAUCAAUCCAAAGAAUCAAUUAUAUGUGUCUCACCCUUCACUUUAAUGAUAGUGAUUGGAAAUUGCAUAAAAAAAUAAUUAAUUUUUGUCCAAUUUCAAGUCAUAAAGGUGAGACCAUUGGUAAGGUUGUUGAGGCAUGUUUAGAAUUUCGGGAAAUUGAGGACAAACUUUUCACUAUCACUGUUGACAAUGCUAGUUCAAAUGAUGUUACUUGUGUUAACUUGAGAAAAUUAGUUCAACAGAAUAGGGUUAAUUGUAUUGCAGAUGGAAAGUAUGUUCAUACCAGAUGCAUUGCUUAUAUCAUUAAUCUUAUUGUAUGGGAUGACAUUAAAGAACAUGGUGUGUGCAUUGAUAGGAUAAGAAAUGCUGUGAAAUAUAUUAAGAACUCUUGUGCUAGAAUUCAAAGGUUGAAAGAUCUUGUACCUAAAUAUAAUAUUUAGAGCAAAUCAUCGUUGUGUUUUGAUGUUCCUACUUGAUGGAACUCCACUUAUGAUAUGUUGGAUACAUCUAUCAAAUUUGAACCUGUUUUUGGUGGAAUAACUCUACCUAGUGGAGAUAAGGAUUCUGAAAAGCCACCAGAUAGUGAUGAUUGGAAAAAAGCAAAAAAGGUUGGUUGUAUUUUUGAAAGGUUUUUACCUUUUAACUCGUCGAAUAUCUGGCUCUCUUUACGUGACAAGUAGUAAAGGUUUUUUGAGGUUGCUGCUGUUUAUGAUAUGUUGAAAAGAUAGGAGAAAAAUGUUGAUCCAGAAUUUAAAGUUAUGGCAUGUUCAAUGAAAAAAAAGUAUGACAAAUAUUGGGGGAAUAUAUGAAAAUGAAUAUGUUGAUUUAUGUUGCUGCCAUUCUUGAUCCUCAAACUAAAUGGUUGCUCGUUGAGUUUACACUUAUUGAUAUGUAUGGUAAGGAAGAAGGUUCAAUACUUUGUGCUGAUGUGAAGAAGUUCACUCAUUAAUUAUUUGAUGAAUAUAGAACUAAAUACUGUCCUCAGGAUUAUCAACCUAUGCAAACUAGUGAUGAUUCAUCUAUUCCAAUUGAGUUAAGUGAGGAUGAUGGCAUGUUGGGAAGUAAUUACUUGCAAAGCAUAAGAGAGAGAGUAGAGCGGUUGGAAGGAUCAAGCGAGUAUGUUAGGAUCGAGUUAGAUAGGUACUUAACUGAUCCAUUAGGCCCAACAGAAAAAGGUAUGGAUACAUUAGCAUGGUGGGGUCAAUAUGGCAAAGAUAUCUAAUUCUUUCACAUAUGGAUCGUGAUAUAUUAGCUAUUCCAUUGUCUACCGUUGCAUCAGAGUCUGCCUUUAAUGCCGGAGGUCGAGUUCUUGAUCCUUUUAGGAGUUUACUAACUCCUAAGAUUGUACAAGCUCUUGUUUGUUCACAAGAUUGGUCGAACCAAGGGAGGAUUAAGUGUUGAUAUAGAAGAGAAUUUGCGUGAAUUAGAGGAAUUGGAAAAAGGUGAUAUUAUAAUCGUAUUAUUUUUUUUAAUUACAUUUGCAUUUCUAAUAUUUUUAUGUGUUAUGGUUUUAUGGAGAUAUUUGUGAAGAUGAUGUGUAUGAUCAAGUGAUUUACGUGGAUAGCUUGAUUUGAAGCUCACAAAUGUUUCUUUUUGACAAUUGGCAUGAUUAAAUUUAACAUUUUCUUGAAGGAAUGUAUUGAAGGAUAUUAAUGUAUUGGACUUUUAGCUAAUUAAAACUAUUAGAGACUUUUGGCAUUGGAUAUUU
Molecule: long non-coding RNA, 2716 nt
Organism: Amaranthus tricolor (Joseph's coat)
Lineage: Eukaryota; Viridiplantae; Streptophyta; Magnoliopsida; Caryophyllales; Amaranthaceae
Exons: 5
Source: RefSeq, a predicted model, not a curated record